CGUGUUUGCUUCUGUCACAGGAGCGGGGCUUAGCUUGAACUUUGUUUUUACCCGGCCCCUGCCAUCGUAACACAACUGUUGUAUUUUAACAGAGCUUCAUAACAUCAAAUAAAUUUGAAAGAAAUGGAUUUCACCAGUGUUAUGCUAACUAAAAGCCCCAAGAUGAAAGCGUAUGCCCACAGAUGGCAGUGGGACCUCUGUGACUGCUGCCGGCUCCCAGCCCUGGUGCUAGAAAUGUCUAAAUCCAAAUGUGUGAAAAUGCUAAUCAUUUGUCUUGCCAGUUUUCUGAAGCCAUCAGUACGACGGCAAAGAGCUUCUUAGUUUUAUUUUGGGGAAAGUAUAAAUCGUGUUUAAUGAGGUACACUAAAAAUCCCCCCCAAACUUCCUUUUCUAUUAAUAUCAACAGUCCAAGAGUGUUUGCCACAUUGCUAGGGCUGAAG
Long non-coding RNA from Xenopus tropicalis (tropical clawed frog), 440 nucleotides. RefSeq lists it as uncharacterized. NCBI's taxonomy places the organism in Eukaryota, Metazoa, Chordata, Amphibia, Anura, Pipidae. The record is from RefSeq and is a predicted model, not a curated record. The transcript is spliced from 3 exons.